RNAcentral lists this ribosomal RNA (497 nucleotides) under uncultured bacterium. RNAcentral describes it as "partial 16S ribosomal RNA". It matches the Rfam family "Bacterial small subunit ribosomal RNA", at positions 28 to 507 of the family's 1533-position model. The record is from RNAcentral.
GACGAACGCUGGCGGCGUGCCUAAUACAUGCAAGUUGAGCGCUGAAGGUUGGUACUUGUACCAACUGGAUGAGCAGCGAACGGGUGAGUAACGCGUGGGGAAUCUGCCUUUGAGCGGGGGACAACAUUUGGAAACGAAUGCUAAUACCGCAUAAAAACUUUAAACACAAGUUUUAAGUUUGAAAGAUGCAAUUGCAUCACUCAAAGAUGAUCCCGCGUUGUAUUAGCUAGUUGGUGAGGUAAAGGCUCACCAAGGCGAUGAUACAUAGCCGACCUGAGAGGGUGAUCGGCCACAGUGGGACUGAGACACGGCCCAAACGCCUACGGGAGGCAGCAGUAGGGAAUCUUCGGCAAUGGACGAAAGUCUGACCGAGCAACGCCGCGGGAGUGAAGAAGGUUUUCGGAUCGUAAAACUCGGUUGGUAGAGAAGAACGUUGGUGAGAGUGGAAAGCUCAUCAAGUGACGGUAACUACCCAGAAAGGGACGGCUAACUACGUG